CAAGUACCGUGAGGGAAAGUUGCAAAGUACUUUGAAGAGAGAGUUCAAGAGGACGUGAAACCGAUAGGAUGGAAGCAGAUGAAGUUGACGAACGAGUGUCGUAUUCAGGGUUGCAUCUUGUGUGCGGUCUGUUCUUGCGGCCGAUGUGGGCCGGCGGUUUUGGUCAAUGCACUGUGUCAAGCGUCGAUGGAGACCCUGCGGAGGGAUAAUCAGUCGGCGUGCGAUGCGUGGUAUGGCUAAGGCUUCGCCGGUCUUGAAGUCAGCGCCUCAUCUGACCCGUCUUGAAACACGGACCAAGGAGUGUAUCGUUUACGCGAGUCUUAGAGUGUGUCAAAACUUUGAGGCGUAACGAAAGUGAAUGCAGUUUAAUCUGCUGACUUGGGAUGCGUUGUCUCUUGUGGACGGCGCCGGACCAUGGUUAUAUCGCGAUCGCUUGCGAUGCGGUGUAAAUAGAGCGUAAACGGUGCGACCCGAAAGAUGGUGAACUAUGCCUGAGCAGGAUGAAGCCGGAGGAAACUCUGGUGGAAGUCCGAAGCGGUUCUGACGUGCAAAUCGAUC
Molecule: ribosomal RNA, 558 nt
Filed under: unidentified
Description: Steinernema sp. eAUT20.5_TH partial large subunit ribosomal RNA
Rfam family: Eukaryotic large subunit ribosomal RNA
Source: RNAcentral